RNAcentral lists this long non-coding RNA (247 nucleotides) under Elaeis guineensis (African oil palm). RNAcentral's name for it is "long non-coding RNA (EGUI_LNC053933)". The record is from RNAcentral. Lineage: Eukaryota; Viridiplantae; Streptophyta; Magnoliopsida; Arecales; Arecaceae.
UGAUGGGGUUUACAAGUCUGUCGGUCUCCUUUUAGGGUUAUGCUCUUAAGACUACUUGUCAUGUUCUCAACUAGAUUUUGAAUUAAUCAAUUGAAAAUACUCCAUAUGAGAUAUGGACUAGGCAUAAAUCGAUACUUUCUUACCUUACCUUAAGAUUUGGAAGUGUUUGUUUUAUGUCCAACAUUUGUAGACCGAUUAGCCUAGAUCUCAAUCCUGUAUGUAUUAUUUUGUAGAAUACCUCAAAGAA